RNAcentral lists this ribosomal RNA (604 nucleotides) under Gloeocystidiellum sp. DLL2011-2. Its description in RNAcentral is "eukaryotic LSU rRNA". The stretch from base 228 to 381 matches the Rfam family "5.8S ribosomal RNA". The record is from RNAcentral. Lineage: Eukaryota; Fungi; Basidiomycota; Agaricomycetes; Russulales; Gloeocystidiellaceae.
GUCGUAACAAGGUUUCCGUAGGUGAACCUGCGGAAGGAUCAUUAUUGAAUUAUAGACCCUGACUGUCGCUGACCCUCCGGGGUAUGUGCACGUCUGUGGUCAAUUCUCCUUCUUMACCCUGUGCACCUUUGCGUGGAUCCAUCGGCCGUCACCUUUGGGUCUGCGUUUCUUAUCAAACUCUUUUGUAUGUCUCAGAAUGUCCUCUUGCGAUAAACCGCAUUUAAUACAACUUUCAACAACGGAUCUCUUGGCUCUCGCAUCGAUGAAGAACGCAGCGAAAUGCGAUAAGUAAUGUGAAUUGCAGAAUUCAGUGAAUCAUCGAAUCUUUGAACGCACCUUGCACCUCUUGGUAUUCCGAGAGGUACGCCUGUUUGAGUGUCGUGAAAUUCUCAUCCCCUUCUCCUUCUUCUAUUGGAGGGUCUUGGGGCUUGGAUUUGGAGGUUUUUGUUGGUCCUUGAGAUCAACUCCUCUUAAAAGCAUUAGUGAGUCCCCUUCGUGGCCUCGGUGUGAUAAUUGUCUACGCCUUAGCUAUGAUGUAGGAGCUCGCUUCUAACUGUCCUUGGACAAACUUUAUCGAAACUUGACCUCAAAUCAGGCGGGACUA